RNAcentral lists this ribosomal RNA (504 nucleotides) under uncultured bacterium. Its description in RNAcentral is "partial 16S ribosomal RNA". It matches the Rfam family "Bacterial small subunit ribosomal RNA", at positions 28 to 523 of the family's 1533-position model. The record is from RNAcentral.
GAUAAACGCUAGCGGCAGGCUUAACACAUGCAAGUCGAGGGGCAGCAUAGAUUGUAGCAAUACAAUUGGUGGCGACCGGCGCACGGGUGCGUAACGCGUAUGCAACCUACCCGUCACAGGGGGAUAAUCCGGAGAAAUCUGGUCUAAUACCCCAUAACAUAUGGAUCGGCAUCGGUUCAUGUUGAAAUUUUCGGAGGUGACGGAUGGGCAUGCGUAGCAUUAGCUUGUUGGUGAGGUAACGGCUCACCAAGGCGACGAUGCUUAGGGGGACUGAGAGGUUUUCCCCCCUCACUUGUACUGAGACACGGACCAGACUCCGACGGGAGGCAGCAGUGAGGAAUAUUGGUCAAUGGGCGCAAGCCUGAACCAGCCAUGCCGCGUGCAGGAUGACGGCGCUAUGAGUUGUAGACUGCUUUUGUACGAGGGUAAAGUGGGUUACGUGUAACCUUUUGAAAGUAUCGUACGAAUAAGGAUCGGCUGACUCCGUGCCAGCCGCCGCCGUAA